This 22611-nucleotide long non-coding RNA is filed under the name Eucalyptus grandis. RNAcentral describes it as "long non-coding RNA (EGRA_LNC005271)". Lineage: Eukaryota; Viridiplantae; Streptophyta; Magnoliopsida; Myrtales; Myrtaceae. The record is from RNAcentral.
CAGAGCUUCGAUCUGGUGCCAGCACGACAAGGAAGCUUUUACAUAGCUCAACAAUCUGGGAUGUUCUUUGAUCUCAAGAAGCCUCGGACCGGGCGUAUGUCCACCUGGGUACCGAAACUUCCCGCCUCGGGAACGCCCAUGUAUGACUCGUUAUUUCAAAUGCUCAGCUCGGCAUACCCGCCGACGUCGGCUGCCACGGCACCGAGUACGCCUCCGCAUUUCGAACGCCUCAGCAUUUCGAAUCCGAAUACCCAUGAUGAAACUUCCUCCGUCUCUACAGAGACCUGAUGAUAAAACUGUUUUAUUUUCAAUGUUCUAGACUCUUGUUUUAUUUUCAAUGUUUCAUUGCAGUACUUUUGUGAAUACGUAUUGGAUUCAUGUUCGAAUCCAAGUUCAGCAUAUGUCAUACUGCUCUUAUGAACUGAACUCAGUGGCAGGGCCUUCUAAUUCUCGUGGUAAUAUGUUGCUCAGUAAAGUUGACUUGAUGUUUCAUGACAUUAGCAGUGAGGAAGUUUAAUAUUUAAGAAUAUGACUACAUAAGCAAUUACCAUCGCCCGACUUUUAGCACAAUUAAAAGCCGAUGGAUAUACAUAAUGGUGGCGCAGGGAAGUCCUAAUCUGAGAGCAUAUGCUCAUGAGAAAUGCGGUAUGCACUAGAAAGUACAUUGAAAUUUGGUUACUAAAUGACAUGAUAACUGAUUAUUGUUGGAUGAAAUAUGUUCACCGGACCCUACUCUUUAGAUAUUUGGUAAUUCAUAAUUAAAGCAGCUCAUAUGAGCUGGUAAAUCAUUUAGUAAAAGAAUAUCACAGCAAAUACUUUGUACCCUAACAUUGCUUUAUGUCCAUAUAAAGUGAGCUUGACUCAUUUAGCGUGAAACAAUACUCUCAGUAAAAUACCUAACACCGACUUGUGACACCUAAAGCUACACAUGAUAAAAUUUCUAUUCUCUGGUCUUCGAAACAGAUUUGGAACAGAAAUCCGUUUGGUAAUGUAAUUUGAUUUUUCUAUUUCUAGAACAAAUUUCUAUUCCAUAAAUUGAUUUGAAGGAGAAACCUGAAGUUAAAAUUUUUAACUUCUCAAAAUCCGUUUGGUAAUAUAAUUUGAUUUUUCUAUUUCUAGAACAAAUUUCUAUUCCAUAAAUUGAUUUGAAGGAGAAACCUGAAGUUAAAAUUUUUAACUUCUCAAUUUCUAGUAAGAAAUUAAUUUCCGUUCUAGAAAUUUUGUUGUGCGCACCAUAAAAGAUUAGGUUUGUUGACUUUUAGUCAAUUAAUGGAUUUGAGAACCUCUGCCCCAUAGAGGCAGGCAAAAGCAUUUGGAACAAUUCUGCUUGACACCUUUUUUCAUGUUUGUCGGUACCCGCUGACAACUUAAAACACAUGAAACCAAAAAUAUUGGCCCCGGAGGUUUCCGUGCAUUCUUUUUACCUUGUCGAUGCGCAUGCCACUUGCCGGCUGGAGAAGAUGACUCACUUGCAGUUCAGGUGCCUAAAGUAUUAAACAAAAACCAAACCAAAGAAUCCUUGCUUGUCAAGUUGGUUGACAGAUAAUGCAUUUGAAGGAUCCAUGAAGACCAUAUAGCCCAUAGAAAAUAUUAGGUACCCUAAGAGUGCCACACAAUUUUUGUUCUGAAUUAUUCAGAGCAUGACACAUGUCCAUCUCUCUUCCACAUCAUCCCACUCUCUCAUUUGUAGUCCCUCUUUGUUAAUGCUUUGACGCUCUCUCUCCUCUGCUCUCCUCUGUAGACGGUCUCUCUCCUCUCUCUCCUCUAUGUCUCUCGCUUCCAUCACCCCUCAUCAAGUGAAACGCGAUGCCAACGGCCCUCCACCUUUAAUGGUUGCCUCCGUUGCCCCCGACUUUGACGCCAACGCAGCCUCUGCCUCCUCUCUUGAACCCGACUCUGACACCAACACCCCUUUGCCUCCCUCUUGCUACCUCUAGUCCUCUCUCUCUCUCUCUCUCUCUCUCUCUCUCGUCCUCAAAGUCGCGUCUCUCUUCCAGCAAACCACAAUGCUGACGCCCCUCUGCCAGUUGCCUCCGUCGCCCUCGACUCAGACACCAACGCCUCUACCUCUGCUUCUGCCUCCACUUACGUGCCUAAUGCCAACGAACCCUUGCUCGCGUUUUGACCUUCCUCUCUGCAAACGAAGGUCGCUCUGCUCACUCUUUCUCUCUUUCCUCCACAAAGCACCCCUGCUCUUGAACGCGGACGCCGCCGACGCCGUUGCCUCCCACCAUUGCCUUCCCAAGCCCCACUGAUAGAGAGAUUGUCUGCAAUUUUGUUCUCAGCAAUUUUUUUUUCCCCGCAACGGAAGAGAGAACGGGGAGAGAGAUAGUUUGCAGAGGAGAGAGAGCGUUAGAGCAGUGGGCCAGGGACUAUGGAAGAGAAGAGAGAGUGGGAUGGCGUGGGAGAGAGACGAACAUGUGUCAUGCUUUGAAUGGUUUAGAGUAAAAAUUGGGUGGCACUCUUAGGGUACCUAAUAUUUUCUCAUCAUUCUAUACAACCACCUUGACACGAAUUAUGAGAGGGUAGAGUGGCUUGACAACCUCUGUAACACGAAGACGACAAGAAUGACUUUCAGACAACAACCUUGUUGCAGAGCCGGGCGACAACUCCAUACCUUCUCAACCCUCAGAUAUGUCCUAGCAUUCACUGGAUGGAAUAGUAGACAAUUGUGAUAUCAGCAUAUCAAUCCAACAAUUUCCGGUAAAAUCUUUACUUAGCGCCAAUCCAACUGUAUCUGCAGUAUCAGGACUCAUAACAAAUGAGGGGCCGUAGAAAUUUUACCUAUUCGGGGUACUGUUUCGCCAAAUUUCCCUCUCGACCGCUCCGCCAGAGCUUCGCAUUCUCUCUAAUGAAACAAAUCCCUCACUCCAAUACUCAUUGCGACAAUCUCCCUCCUCGUUCUACUAUCCUCAACAUCCCCAACUCUCUCCCAAACCAUAUCACACUCGUCCUCCAAUUUGCUCAAGUGUCUCCUCAAAUUCACCCGCUUUUGCAGCCAUCUUCUCAUUCUCCCUCUUCACUCUCAUCGCCUCAUCAACAAUCUCCUCUGACCCCCUAACGAACCCCUCUUUCUCUCUCAUCAAUUCCCUCAGCUCCUCGUACGUACCCCCGCCCGCAUUGUGUCCUCCUGCAAUUGCCGUUUUUCCAAUUUCACCGCCUUCAUCGCCACCUCCACCUCCUCGACACGCCCCUCCCCUCUCCUAAUCACAUCCAUACAUCUGAGAACCACCGAAACCUUCUCCAGCAAUCUCUUCGUGCAAUUCCAAUACUCGUGCCAUUUCACGUCCGACCGCUCCUCAAUUUUCUCCAAAUUCAGGCGUAGAAGGGGCUGAACUGGAAAAAGAAAAAACAAGGGGGGGCUUUCUAGUCUUUUCAGCCGAAAGAACCGGUUUCGGGUCGGUCGGUGGAUCCGGACCCGAUGAUUCCAAAAUAAAAAAGAAAACCCUGGAAGCCCUAGAGAAAUUGUCUCCAGUUCACACAGAUCCAGCAGGAGGAGAUGUCGACGAUCGGUCCAGAAGACGUGACAGAAGCGGAAGGAGGAGGAGGAGGAGAGAUGUCGAUGGUGGGUCCGGAAGAAGACAGGGAUCCGAUGAUAGCGGAGGCCGAGCGGUUCGUGGAGAACUACUACAGCACGUUCGACGCGAACAGGGAGGGCUUGGUGAACCUGUACCGGCAACGAUCGGUGCUGAUUUUCGGCGGCCGGAAGAUCCAGGGCAAGGAGGCUAUCCUCGCCAAACUCACCUCCCUUCCGCAGCCGUGCCACCACGAAAUCGCCGAGUUCGAGUGCAGGACCUAUCGCUUGGCACCCGCAUCGGUCGCCGUGUUCGUCGGGGUCCGCGGCGGGACGUGGGUAGGCGGCAAGAAGGAGGAGGCGGACGGCGCCCUUAUACAGCAGGUCUCUCUCUUUCUCUCUAAGUUAUUAUUUCUUGUCUACGCUUUGCAAUUUCUCUAUCGAUCAAUCCAUUAAUCAAUCGCAUCGCGCAUAAAUACCGAGAGUACGUCUCAAGCUCCUUGUCUAACGCUCUGGCUGGCUCUGAUUCUUACCUUCAGAGCUUCGAUCUGGUGCCAGCACGACAAGGAAGCUUUUACAUAGCUGAACAAUCUGGGAUGUUCUUUGAUCUCAAGAAGCCUCGGACCGGGCGUAUGUCAACCUGGGUACCGAAACUUCCCGCCUCGGGAACGCCCAUGUAUGCCUCGUUAUUUCAAAUGCUCAGCUCGGCAUACCCGCCGACGUCGGCUGCCACGGCACCGAGUACGCCUCCGCAUUUCGAACGCCUCAGCAUUUCGAAUCCGAAUACCCAUGAUGAAACUUCCUCCGUCUCUACAGAGACCUGAUGAUAAAACUGUUUUAUUUUCAAUGUUCUAGACUCUUGUUUUAUUUUCAAUGUUUCAGUGCAGUACUUUUGUGAAUAGGUAUUGGAUUCAUGUUCGAAUCCAAGUUCAGCAUAUGUUAGAGUCAGAUUGCAGUUAUGAACUCAGUGGUAGGGCCUUCUAAUUCUCGUGGUAAUGUGUUGCUCAGUAAAGUUGACUUGAUGUUUCAUGACAUUAGCGGUGAGGAAGUUUAAAAUUUAAGAAUAUGACUACAUAAGCAAUUACCAUCGCGCGACUUUUACCACAAUUAAAAGCCAGAUGGAUAUACAUAAUGGUGCGCAGGGAAGUCCUAAUCUGAGAGCAUAUGCUCAUGAGAAAUGCGGUAUGCACUAAGAAAGUGCAUUGAACUAAAUGACAUGAUAACUGAUUAUUGUUGGAUGAAAUAUGUUCACCGGACCCUACUCUUUAGAUAUUUGGUAAUUCAUAAUUAAAGCAGCUCAUAUGAGCUGGUAAAUCAUUUAGUAAAAGAAUAUCACAGAAAAUACUUCGUACCCUAACAUUGCUUUAUGUCCAUAUAAAGUGAGCUUGAAUUAUUUAGCGUGAAACAAUACUCUCAGUAAAAUACCUAACACUGACUUGUGACAUCUAAAGUUACGUAGGAUAAAAUUUCUAUUCUCUGUUCUUCUAAACAGGUUUAGAAUAGAAAUUCGUUUGGUAAUGUAAUUUGAUUUUUUUUAUUUCUAGAAUAAAUUUCUAUUCCAGAAAUUGAUUUGAAUGAGAAAUCAGAAGCUAAAAUUUUUAAUUUUUCAAUUUUUGGCCAAAAAUUGAUUUCCGUUCUAGAAAUUUAAUUUUGUCGUGUGCACACUAAAAGACUAGGUUUGUUGACUUUUAGUCAAUUAAUGGAUUUGAGAACCUCUGCCCCAUAGAGGCAGGCAAAAGCAUUUGGAACAAUUCUGCUUCACCUUUGCCAAGAAUCUCUACCCCCCUUGACACCUUUCUUCAUGUUUGCCGGUACCCGCUAACAACUUAAAACACAUGAAACCAAAAAUAUUGGCCCUGGAGGUUUCCGUAUUCUUUUUACCUUGUCGAUGUGCAUGCCACUUGCCGGCUGGAGAAGAUGACUCACUUUUAGUUGAGGUGCCUAAAGUAUUAAACAAAAACCAAACCAAAGAAUCAUUUGCUUGUCAAGUUGGCUGACAGAUAAUGCAUUUGAAGGAUCCAUGAAGACCAUAUAGCCCAUCAUUCUAUGAGAAAAUAUUAGGUACCCUAAGAGUGCCACGCAAUGUUUGCUUUGAAUUAUUCAGAGCAUGACACAUGUCCAUCUCUCUUUCACGUCAUCCCACUCUCUCUUCUAUAGUCCCUCUUUGACGCUCUCUCUCCUCUGCUCUCCUCUGUAGACGGUCUCUCUUCUCUCUCUCCUCUAUGUCUCUCGCUUCCAUCGCCCAUCAUCAAGCGAAACGCGACGCCGACGGCCCUCCACCUCAGCUAGUUGCCUCCAUUGCCCCCGACUUUGACGUCGAUGUCGACGUCAACGCAGCCUCUGCCUCCUCUCCUAAACCCGACUCUGACACCAACACCCCUCCGCCUCUCUCUUGCUACCUCUAGUCCCCACCCCCUCUCUCUCUCUCUCUCUCUCUCUCUCUCUCUCUCUCUCUCUCUCUCUCUCUCUUGUCCUCGAAGUCGCGUCUCUCUUCCAGCAAACCACAACACUGACACUCCUCCGCCAGUUGCCUCUGUUGCCCUCGACUCAGACACCAACGCCUCUACCUCCGCCUCCGCCUCCACUUAUGUGCCUAACGCCAACGAACCCUUGCUCGCGUUUUGACCUCCCUCUUUGCAAGCGAAGGUCGCUCUGCUCGCUCUUUCUCUCUUUCCUCCAUGAAGCACCCCUACUCUUGAACGCUGACACCGCCAACGCUGUUGCCUCCCACCAUUGCCUUCUCAAGCCACACUAAUAGAGAGAUUGUCUGCAAUUUUGUUCUCCGCAAUUUUGUUCUCUCCGCAACGGAACAGAGAACAGGGAGAGAGAGUUCGCAGAGGAGAGCAGAGGAGAGAGAGCGUUAGAGCAGUGGGCCAGGGACUAUGGAAGAGAGAGUGGGACGGCGUGGGAGAGAGACGGACAUGUGUCAUGCUCUGAAUGAUUUAGAGUAAAAAUUGGGUGGCACUCUUAGGGUACCAAAUAUUUUUUCAUCAUUCUAUACAACCACCUUGACACGAAUUAUGAGAGGGUAGAGUGGCUUGACAACCUUUGUAACACAAAGACGACAAGAAUGACUUUCGGACAAAAACCUCAACUCCAUACCUUCUCAACCCUCAGAUAUGUCCUAGCAUUCACUGGAUGGAAUAGUAGACAAUUGUGGUAUCAGCAUAUUAAUUUGACAAUUUGCGGUAAAAUCUUUACUUAGCUCCAAUCCAACUGUAUCUGCAGUAUCAGGACUCAUAACAAAUGAGGGGCCGUAGAAAUUUUACCUAUUCGGGGUACUGUUUCCCCAAAUUUCCCUCUCGACCGCUCCACCAGAGCUUCGCAUUCUCUCUAAUGAAACGAAUCCCUCACUCCAAUACUCAUUGCGACAAUCUCCCUCCUCGUUCUACUGUCCUCAACAUCCCCAGCUCUCUCCCAAACCAUAUCACACUCGUCCUCCAAUUUGCUCAAGGUCUCCUCAAAUUCACCCGCUUUUGCAGCCAUCUUCUCAUUCUCCCUCUUCACUCUCAUCGCCUCAUCAACAAUCUCCUCUGACCCCCUAACGAACCCCUCUUUCUCUCUCUUCAAUUCCCUCAGCUCCUCGUACGUACCCCGCCCGCAUUGUCUCCUCUUCCUGCAAUUGCCGUUUUUCCAAUUUCACCGCCUUCAUCGCCACCUCCACCUCCACCUCCACCUCCUCGACACGCCCCUCCCCUCUCCUAAUCACAUCCAUACAUCUGAGAACCACCGAAACCUUCUCCAGCAAUCACUUCGUGCAAUUCCAAUACUCGUGCCCUCUCACUUCCGACCGCUCCUCAAUUUUCUCCAAAUUCAGGCGAAGAAGGGGCUGAACUGGAAAAAGAAAAAACAAGGGGGGGCUUUCUAGUCUUUUCAGCCGACGGAGAACCGGUUUCGGGUAGGUCGGUGGAUCCGGACCCGAUGAUUCCAGAAUAAAAGAAAGAAAACCCUGGAAGCCCUAGAGAAAUUGUCUCCAGUUCACACAGAUCCAGGAGAGAUGUCGACGAUGGGUCCAGAAGAGGUGACAGAAGCGGAAGGAGGAGGAGGAGAGAUGUCGAUGAGGGGUCCGGAAGAAGACAGGGAUGCGAUGAUAGCGGAGGCCAAGCGGUUCGUGGAGAACUACUACAGCACGUUCGACGCGAACAGGGAGGGCUUGGUGAACCUGUACCGGCAACGAUCGGUGCUGAAAAUCGAGGGCCGGAAGAUCCAGGGCAAGGAGGCUAUCCUCGCCAAACUCAUCUCCCUUCCGCAGCCGUGCCACCACGAAUUCCCCGAGAUCAGUUGCUGCACCUAUCGCUUGGCACCCGCAUCGGCAUCGGUCGCCGUGCGCGUCCUGGUCCGCGGCGGGACGUGGUUAGGCGGCAAGAAGGAGGAGGCGGACGCCGCCCUUAUACAGCAGGUCUCUCUCGUUCUCUCUAAGUUAUUAUUUCUUGUCAACGCUUUGCAAUUUCUCUUAUCGAUCAAUCCGUUAAUCAAUCGCAUCGCGCAUAAAUACCGAGAGUACAUCUCAAGCUCCUUGUCUAACGCUCUGGCUGGCUCUGAUUCUUAACCUUCAGAGCUUCAAUCUGGUGCCAGCACGAGGAGGAAGCUUUUACAUAGCUCGACAAUCUGGGAUGCUCUUUGAUCUCAAGAAGCCUCGGUCCGGGGGUCUGUCCUACUGGCUACCGAAACCUCCCUGCUCGGCAGCGCCCUUUCUUGGCCCGUUAUAUCAAAUCCUAUCCUCGGCAUACCCGCCGACGUCGGCUGCCACGGCACCGAGUACGCCUCCGCAUUUCGAACGCCUCAGCAUUUCGAAUCCGAAUGCCACCCAUGAUGAAACUUCCUCCGUCUCUACAGAGACCUGAUGAUAAAACUGUUUUACUUUCAAUGUUCUAGACUCUUGUUUUAUUUUCAAUGUUUUGUUGCACUACUUUUGUGAAUACGUAUUGGAUUCAUGUUCGAAUCCAAGUUCAGCAUAUGUCAUACUGCUCUUAUGAACUGAACUCAGUGGCAGGGCCUUCUAAUUCUCGUGGUAAUAUACUUAAUGCUUCAUGACAUUAGCAGUGAGGAUGUUAAUAUGAUGGACAUACAUGAUGGUGGCGCAAUACCUCGCCCAUGCUUCUAGAGGAAAUAACUUUUCUUUUAACAUACAAGUUUUAUUUCAUGACUUUAAUAUAGUACAGAUAAUCAUGAGUUAAGAUAAAAAUAAAUAGGGAGCAAUUUACAUUUUGGCCGCCAUCGGCGAAAUGGAAGGUAGACAGAUGACUCUAGGACUAGAAUAUUAUAGUAAAUACUUUGUAUCCCUAGUAUUGUUUUAUGUCCGUAUAAAUUGAACCCGACUCAUUCAGCACGAAACACUCUCAAUAGAAUUCCUAACACCAACUCGCGACACCUAAAAGACUAGGAUUGCCGACUUAUAGUCAUCUGACAAAACCAGGAUUUGAGAACCUCUGCCCAUAUAGGCAAAGGCAUUUGGAACAAUUCUGACAAAAUCAGGAUUUGAGAACCUUUGCCCAUAUAGGCAAAAGCAUUCGACAAAACCCGGAUUUGAGAACCUCUGCCUAUAUAGGCAAAGGCAUUUGAAACAAUUAUGACAAAAUCAGGAUUUGAGAACCUCCGCCCAUAUAGGCAAAAGCAUUCAGAACAAUUCUACUUCACCUUGCCGAGAUCUCUCUCUCUCUCUCUCUCUCUCUCUCUCUCUCUCUCUCUCCUCAUGUCAGCCACUACCCGGUGACAACUUAAACACAUGGAACCAAAAAUAUUGGCCCCCGAGGUCUCCGUGAAUUCUUUCAACUUUGUUCAUGCGCAUACCACUUGCAGUUCAGGUGCCUAAAGUAUUAGAAAAAACCAAAUCAAAUAAUCCUUGCCAGUCAAACUGGCUGAUAGAUAAUGCACUUGAAGGAUCCAUGAAGACCCACGAAGACCAUAUAAACCAUCAUUCGAUAUUGCCUUGACACAAAUUAUGGGAGGGUAGAGUGGCUUGACAGCCUCUGCAACAGAAGGACGACAAUACUGACUUUCAGACAACCCACCUUUUAGCAAAGUUGGGCGACAACCAUGGACCUGCUCAGCCCUCAAAUAUGCCCUAGCACUCCUUGGAGUAGACAAUUGCCCAUCAAUGAAUGCACGAAAGAAGUGAUACUGUAAAACAAAUCGAGGACAAAAACUUCAUGAACAUUUACUGGCUCAACGUGGCUGUUUAUUAUUUUUCCACCGAUUUUAUUGAUAACUGUCAAGAUUGUUGAGAGAAACAACAACAAAUUCAGGUAGCGGGUGUAUCGGGGAGCACAUUACACAAUGGACUUGAUCAUUUUCAUCCUCUGCUGGAGGGGGGAGAUUUCUUAGCCUCAGAUGGUUUGUCGAUGCCACAAUCAUGUUUGUUACACUUUGUCCGGAAUGAAUAAUUUACGUUACUGCAUUGCUCACACUUCCAACUACUCUCUGGCAUUUUUGUUUUGAAAGUCACUUUAUAAAUGAGUACCAAUAUAGACGAAUACGAGGCAAGCAACACGGCCAGUAGUGAUAACUUACUAUAGUUCUUUUCAGAGUUUGAAACCUGCAGUUGAAGAGCAUAAAAAUCUGUUAAUUUAAACCAAUAAGCACUCUUCAGCUGAAACAAAUUGGCUAGAGCAAAGUUAUAGCUCCGGAAUACGAUAAACACAUGAAAGAAAGCCACAAAGUUUAAUCUCCUCAAGCUGCUAAAUUGUUUGCCAAAGCAACACCGACCCAUGAUUCAGGCUUUGGAGCAUUGCACUCUUCACACCGUUCUAAAAGAGAAGUAAACAUUUCCACAAUCCGGGCACGUCCGAUCAUUAUCGCGUGUUGCAUCUACAACGUAUUUCAAGGAAAUCUAAUGUCAGUUGGAGAUAAACCGGUAUUCUUAUUGUUAAUUCUAAAAGCAAUCACCAGCACAUGGAAUACCAACCUGCCCCCUUCUUUUGAAGUUUAUCACCGGGGAAAAAUCCCGGCCGUGGUCCCUGGGAGAAUAAAUGCCAAAACAAUGACAUGCAGAAUAUCUGAAAUAGUGAAAAGGAAAAAGCAGCAACAUCCAAAGACAGAGAAAUUUCACAUAGAUCAUGCCACCGAACCCAUCGGAAGCCCCAGCCAUAUCUGUCCAUCAUAGGAGGCAUCCCAUACAUUCCACCUGAACCGAAUCCCUUAUGGGUCGUUUUUGUCAUAUGUUUCUUUUUUAAUUAUUCUUUUGCCAUUUGUCUCGUGUGUUUUCUUGCACUGUUGGUAUAGGUAUGUAAUACAGAUGCUUCCCUUACUGUUGGUAUCUAGUCAUAUAUAGUUUAAUGAACGAAAUCUCAAAUAAUUGGUAAAUCAUUGAAGGAAUGAUGAUUAUAUUAUGUCGGUAGUCUAAUACGCAAUAUAAUAGUCGGCAAUAUGCACCCGCUAUUUUGGGAUAGUGAUCUAAAUUUUCAUAAUCUCAUAUUAUACAACUCGUGAUGUGCUAUAAUCUUGAUUUCAAAUUAUAUCAAUCAAUGCUCGAAUUUCAAAUGCAAUUACUAUUUCAACUAUGCUGUUAAUUAUGUAAUAAAAAUAAAUUUAAUAGCAUAUUAUAUGACUAAGUACAGCCUAUUACCUUAAAUUAUUUAUUUAAUUUUACAUACCGAAUAGCGAUUUUUUGAUGAUAUAUAUAGAGUACUACACUCGCGAUCGAUAUUAGGUAAUAACUACCGUGACAUAGUAUUUGCUUUGAUGCAAUCCCACGUCAUACGCUUAACUUUUGAUCAUAAUCAAUAACUAAAUUAUUAAAAGUAUAAAUAAACAUUUGAUAGAACAUAUUGUGUAUACAAUAAUUUAUAUACAAUAAUUUAUAUAGGAAGCUAAACUCAUGAGUCAAAAUUAAUUUUGAUAUUCCUUCAAAUCUUGAUUUUAGGGAAGUAUUUUUAGAUUUCUGUUCUAUUUGGACCUGGAAGAGUUUAAUCGAAACGGGAGUAGUCGCAGGUAGAAUGCUUCCUGAUGCGGCCUUUUUGGGUUUGGCCCGUUUUGGGUGGGUGGGGAGGGGCAGAGUCGUGACUGAGUUGAGCCGCUUAGGGGCUAUUUGGGCUCUACUUAUUAAUCAAUCAUCAGAGCAUGAGCCUCUGGACUCAUGAUCACCACGUAAGCAGAAACCAUCUCAAGACAGAAAGAAAACCAGAUAGAGCUUGACGACAUUAGCUCAUAUGUGAAAGAACAGAGUCUAAUCCCCAUCGGAGGUUCCAUUUUAGCCAGGAUAGAACUUAAGCUCAACAGGUUGACAUUUAGGCAAGAGAUGAAGGAGAUGAGCAACCAUCUGUGGUAAGGGCUUGCAAGAAGCAAGAGACUCCAAGGACAAAUGGAAAAAGGGGUACUAAAAAAUUAAGAGAAUAGUUGGCUAGGAAAGGUCUCAUGAUGAUAAGAGAGGACAUAGACUUCUCCUUAAGUAUCAUGCGGAAGAAGCUAAAUAAUAUAAAGUGGCACCUGAGAAUAGACUCUUAACUUUACAAGUGACAUUCUAUCAUUCAGACCACCUGCUGUUAACAGAGGAGGAUUUAACUGUAUCAUGACAUAGAACAAAACAAAGCUACAAAAGUAAGCUAGACAGCUCCAGAUCUACCUAUCAAGAUUUCAAACUCAAGCGACUCCUCGACAAUGUUUUCUAGAACUCGAUGAUUUUUCUGUAACAUUCCCUUUGCUUUGCGACAAGCCAAAUAGUACAUCUGCGAAACAAGGAUCCAUCAAAGAAUCUUGCACUCGACCAGAGAUUUGCGGCUCUUUCAAUUUGGACUAUUGAAUAAUAGUAAGCCAGACAAAGCCUCAUAGCAACGGACAAAUGCCUUUUCGACUUUAGCAUGGUUGUUCCCCAUGCUCAAAGCUGUAACCUAGAGAAAUAGAAACGUACAAACAGAAUUAAGGUAAAGCGCAUCAAAGAUUCCCAGCUGGAACAUGAAGCUUCAAUACAUAACAGCGUCGAGAAUGAUCCGCAUUUGUCCAUUUCACAAUCAUAAAGUGCAUGCAAAAUGGACCGGAGAAGUACUGCACUACUGUGAUAGUAAAUUGCAGGACUGUCUCCGCCGGUACUUGUGGAUUCAAUCGUGCAAGAAGGGGGGACACCAUUUGCUUCUCAUCAAGCCCCCAACCGUACUGAAUGACCAUUCCUGUCGCCAUCCGUCACAGGUUAUGUAUCUUAAUAUAUAUGUCUACAUGUAUUCACCUUUCGCUGUGAGAGUUUUCUCAUGAAAGGUAAUCUAAGGUAGAGAACAUCGACAAACUUCUCAAAGCAUAAUGUUACAGGACCAACCUCUUGAGUUUGCUUCAGUUCGGAAGAAGAGAGAAAAUUCUUCCCCGGGAGGAAGUAGAAGCUGUGAAGCAACAUCCAAACCAAAGCAAAAUACAAGCUACUUUUCAAGGUAUGAUCUUAGUUCUGAGUUAGCAUUAACAGAGCCUUCACUCCGUGCCUCGGUGAUCUUUGUACAGCCAAUUCCCUGCAAGAAAGGGGUCAAAGUGAACGUCUUUAUAAGACCAAGGGCUCUAAAAUCCCAUAAGGCAUGCAUCUGCAAAUAACUUCUCCUGCGAAGAGGAGAACAAGAACAACCCAGGACACAUGUGGAUACGCUCAAUGUAGCACAAUGAUUAAAUUAAAUCUGCCAAAAUGCUCCAAUGACAGAUAAAGCCAUAAAUAGACAUCUCACGUCAUUGUGUUCGACUGUUUUGAUAUCCCGUUUCAUAUUAAACUCUUGAUCCUUAGAUACGACGGCAAGGAUCAUGGCCAACAAAAGCAUGGGACUGAUUCACUGAGUGCCCAGAUAAAGAAGGUAAUUUAUCAUUUCAAUAGCAUGAAUGGAUGACAGUACCACUGAAUGAAAAGUUCGAUAACGAACAACAUGCCAAUGCACAUAGCUUGUAAAGUGCCAGAAGGAAAAAGCACAAAAAAGAUUGAAAUGGCGAGCUGACAUCCAUGAAGGAUGACAUUCCCUGUUCAGCAGUAGAACAGGACCCCUAAAAUAGGAAUAAGGCUCUUGCAGGUACUUGCUCAUAAGCUUAAUAAGGCGCAUGCUAUUUCAUUACAAGAAAGAAAAAGAGGACAAUAACCUGCCACGAAGAUGGUUCAAGCCACAAAUUGUCGACUACAUCAAAGUUUGAUAGUCAAAGAGCUAUAAGGCCAUGACCAGCUGCCCAAACAGCAUGAGGGAACUUGGUUUCCUCUGUCCACUUUCAAAUCAUCCAUAUUAUGCAAGUCGCCUCGAAGAAACCAACGGAACUUGUACGCAUAAUGAUAUCAUCGUUUGUUCGCCGGUCUGGGUAUAUCAAGUUAGCUAAAUUUUUAGAACAAUGAUUCGUAUCUGAUAACCCUACCACCUUCUAUUUUUAACCACUGAAUUUGUUGUACUCCCGAUUCUUUAGAGUGCGCAAAAAAUAAAACAGCAGAAAUUUAUAGAUUAGAAUUUUGUCAAUUUUUAGAAUUGUUCGGAAGACAAUAGCCCGGGAUAGUCCAACAAACUAAUAGUAAGCAUCAAGGAGAAUUAAUUGAGCAUAACUCCAUUGUUUAUUUGGCCGUACGGUUCAAUUAGAUCAACGACAUUCUGUGAGUCCUCCUCAGUCAAUGUCAGCCCCAGAUGAUUCACCAGCAUUCGGCUAAUCUGCCUCACAACUUUCGUUUGCCGAAUCCAUUUAGGAACCAUAUUGCUCAAGGCCUAUGCAAAAUAAUGAGCGAAUAAUAUGCAUAUGGUAUAAAAUAUAUCACAUAAUGGGUAACCGCUCCAACCUCCAAAACUUCCAUUUUUACUCUCCUCCGAGAAUGAGAUUAGAGCACAAAGUCCCGGUGCUUAUUGGUUUUAGCAAAGAGAAAAUGAUCGAUUCAAGCAGAACUGAAUUUUGCUUCCCCUUACUCUUCGUCAAUUAUAAUUUAUUUUCCCUUUCCGCUGAACAAAAGAAAAAGGGACAUGCAGCCAGUUCCAUGGACCCCCGGGAAUCGGAUCGGGCAAAUCCGAAUCCAAAGCCGAAUAGGUUGGUUCCCAAUUUCACAAACUAGGACCCAGCCCCGUCUGGUCAAGUUCCCGGUUCCGGAGUGGGCCAAUUUAGCUCAGAAUCUACCCAUAAUCGGGUUCAAACAGUUCAGAGAAAAUUCAAAAUAACUUGGAAUUACCACCGCUCAAAGUUAGAAAAUCAAUCGUCAAAAAAAGUUAAAAAAUCAACAUCCCACUGAGAACCUUUCAGAUCAUCAUGUAACGUCAACUGAAAAUACAUUAGAUCAGAUCUAACGUAUUGUCUUCACUGACAUGUGCCGACUUUUGCCAACAAAUUGGAAGACGUUUAAUCCCCUUAAUCCCCUCGAUUUCUUCCUCGAUUCAAAAAUCUUCAAUCGGAAUUUAACUUUAUCAAUUCGCAAAGUUUCCAAAUCCAAUGGGGUGUCGGAACUUGUUCGGAGGUCUUGUGAGCAUGCAUCAAUCCCCGUUAGAUAUCAGAAUGAGGAGUCCAACAAGAGAAUACAGCUGAAAUCCAAGCGCCUCAAUUCUCAAGUCAAAUAUAAGCUAUCCAGAACUGCAAAUCCACCAGCGACUCCACCUUCAUGUGAUGAUGAUAUCUUUGUUCUCAUUAAAUAACCACACUGUUCAUUUACGAUGACAUUCUCUUUCUUCCUGGUAAGAUCAAUCUCAGAUUACCAUGAGCACAUCAAAUGCAUUUACAAACAUUGUCGCUGAAUUCACUAGUGCUAACACGUGCGAACAACGGUGCUGUAGAAGGCAUGAAAUAAAUUAAAAAAAGAAGCUUUGGUUAUCAGAUUUUCCCAUCCGACUCCAACUGCAAAGAUUAAAUUCCAAGUCAUUGAUUUUAAUUAAUCCGAGAUCACAUCCAUCAAACUAAUGAGAGAUGGAGCGACAUCAAAAAAUUACCUCACAUAAGCACCAUAUACCCCGAGUUCUGACAUGGCGUGAUCUUUAUAACAAAUGCCAUCACGAAUGAGAGUUGUGGGAGAAAUGGACGGAAAAAUUCUUUGCAUAAGGAUAUAGGCAGCAUCCUCCUCACUACCUUCACGUUGCAGCCUUAAUAGGGUUUCUCUCACGUCGUCGCCAUAGAUGUUGUUCCCUAAAGAGAGAAAUGACUUCAUUUUAGAAAGAAGAUAGCGCGGCUUAUAACAAAGCAAUCCUUGAAUAAUAUAAUCAAGGUGAGAGAUAAUUACCUCCCCCUUCCCUCUGGGGCUUCAUGACAAAUAGCUCGGGACUUUCAAUUGCUUUACCAACAAUAUGAGGGUCUUCUAAGCUCCAUAAACCUGCAAAGGAUUUCUGGAUCUCGGCAAUGUCUUCUUUGUUCUCAAGGAAUCUGAUAUAUGCACCAAUGGAGUCUCGUAAGUGAUCAAACACGUAGGAGAUAGAGUCUAUUCGACAGUGCAUCUUCUCCUGUAAUUAAAUUGACUUCUAAUGUUCCCAUCGAUAUGUUAUCGAGACUGUUCGGUAAGACAUAUGAAAGGAGCUAAAAUGGCCAUUUGGUAUUAAAAGUAGUCCUUAAUUCGCAGUCCUGGGUGCCAUUGAUUACAUCUAAGCUUCAAACUCAACUAAACAUCAUCAUAUUAGCUAUUGUUGUAUGCAUAGCACACAUCUAUAUACAUUUGUGCUUCAGGAGUUUUUCCAGGAAUGGUACGAUUCCAUAUAAAGCACAGAGCAUCCAGCGCCGCUGCUGGUGGCGCUGUCCUGCCUUCCUCCAUAUCCGGGAGCCCCACCUCCUCCAGUACCGCCUCCAGUAGUGCCUGUGCCCGGGAUCGGUCCUCCUCCAACUCCUCCGCUGCCUGUCCUUCAUCCAUGGCAUCUGGUUCCGUACGGAAGACGGAAAAUACAAGGGUUGCUCCCUGCUGUGCUGUCAUUUGCAGAAUAAAACUCUAGAGCAAAACACAAAUCAGUAUUCUUCCUAUUCCCAAAAAAAAGACAGCAAAAGAAAAGAGAAUACAUGGUUGAAGUUGUAUGGUAGCACAACUUCCUCUUCCCUCCCAUACUGUCCACCAAAGGAGGCGUAGAUGCGUUGAGCGACGUGGUCAACGAACGCAUCGAACUCAUCCAAAUUGAACUUGAAACUAUCCAAGCCGUUCACAAAUGCAGCAAUGGCGUCUGGGGUCCCAAGACGGACCCCAUCAAAAUCCAUGCUCGCUUCAUCAUAAAAGCUUAUCAGCUCUUGCCUAUCUGUUUCCAAAGAAAGAUGGUAUAAUGUACCCCAUUCUGCCGCCAGGUCUUUGAGUCCUUCAUCAUCCAUACCUCUGUUCUGUUCAAGAACAACAGGUGCAACCAACAUACGCAUAAAGAAAAAAAGGAAAAAAAAAAUGGCAGAGCUCGACCUCAUUUCCACAUACUGACCUGUCGACGACGCUCGAAGGGAAAAAGACGGUGGAGCCUCACCGCGAUCGCCGUCCGACGUUUGCAGAGAUUCGACGACGAAAUGAGAGAGCGGGGCGGUAUUCUGUUUAGGAUGACCGAGAAAUGGGUUUUCUCUUCCACCAAUCAGAGUUUUAAAUUUGGGAAAACACGUUUCGCGACGUCGUUUAUACUAUGUAUGCGGAGUUAGAGCAUGGGUGAGCCAAGUCAGAUUGAAAAAAAAAAAAAAAUUGAUAAAAUAUUACUUAUUUUGAAUUUUCAACUAUUCAAAUCAAAGUUAACACUUGAAGUGAAUCAAUAAAGCUACAUCUACCACCACCGCCCGGCCACCAAUCUUUCCUUACACGAGAUACGAGAUUCGAGAUUGGACAGGAUAAUUCCUACUCGCCGACAUUAGACAACUCUCAAAUGGAUGAACUGGCAUUGGAUAGAGCCGUCUGAUUGGGGCAUUUUUCUGCUUCUAGGGUUUGUGUGUGGAAAUCGAACUUACUUAAAUUGUGAAGAUGUUUAAACCAAUUCGAAUUUUGUGAAAGAUAUUUCUGCUUCUAGGAUUUGUGUGUGUGGAAAUCAAACUUACUUAAAUUGUGAAGAUGUUUAAACCAAUUCGAAUUUGUGAAAAACACGUACACAUCAGCAUUCAAAGCCCCCCUCAAAUUUAGUCGGGAUAUUUCUAUUAAUCAAGAUAAUAUAUAUAAUGAUUUCCCAACAAUAGUCAUAAAACUUAUUAUAAGGAUACCAAUUCAGUCUAAAAUUUUUCAAUUUGGUUAAUUCAGUCCUAACCUUUUAUUAAGAUUUGUCAAUAGUCUAUUCGAGCAAUUUUAAAUGACGAUAGGUGGUUGUUAGCCAAAAUUGACCGAAAUUGCUAUAUUGGUAAAUCUUCAAAAGUUUAGAAUUGAAUUAACAAAUUGAAAUUUUUUGAUUGAAUUUGCAUUUAUAUAUUAAGCUUGAGACUUAAAAAGAAAAAUCUCAUGUGCAUCGGUGGAGAAUCCGAAUGCGGUGUCAUAUCUUUUCAUUUGAAAUGUCAAUGUUUGAUACGCAUGCUGUGUUAAGCUGUAUAACGACAUGAAAACCAAAGUCCGUACAUCAUAUCUGGAAAGAUUUCGAUCGGCUAAGGACAAAUACCCAGUUAUUAUCCUACAUGGGAAAUCCGCCAACCGCGCGGUGGCAAGUCAAUGAUUUCAUCUCAAGGAUUGACCACCGAGGUGGCCAGAGCAGCACCUCACAUUUGGCUUUUGUAGAAGAAGAAUCAAAGCGCUUUUCUUUUUGGUAUAUCUAUGAUGAUGAUGAUAUUAUUAUUAUUAUUAUUAUUAUUAUUAUUAUUAUUAUUAUUAUUAUUAUUAUUAUUAUUAUUGAUCUAAUUCUCACGCACUCAAUAUAAUAUUCACACAUACCACGAGGACAUCUAGAGGACCGCAUGCACAUACGUAAGGUAUUCAUUUAUUUAUUCUUGGGUUUCCACGUUGUCUCUUCCUUUUUCUCCUUUUUCUUUUUUCAUUUUUAUAUUCCUUAGAAAUUAGCAGCCCCUUUAGAAGAAGCCUCUAUUCAAGGGGAAGAAAAGGUCGUCCCGGACUCCCCCAUCAUUGAGGUUCCACUAAAAUGACCAUUAAUUCAGGUUUUAAAUUCAAAGAGAUGAUCUCAGGUACCAACUCCUAACAAAAAAAUUAAAUUGGUCUAUACCAUGGUUUUGAUAAUUCAAACAUGAAUGUUUGUCUAAGGGAGAACCAUCACUUCAACGGGUUGCUUAUUAAACUCUCUUUUGAACUUAUCGUGGAAUCAAGCUGAAUUUCAGAUGAUGACAACAAGAGCAUAUGCAGGUGCAUGGUGCUUGCAUGUAUCUUUGCGAUAUAUGGGAAAUUGGGCCAUUUGCAUGAAAAAGUUGUAGGUGCUUCUUACUUUCUUAGUUUGCUAUUGAAAGCACACGGAAAUCGAAAACCAUGGAGAAGUCUAUCAAGUGACUAAACUUGAUUAAUUUGUAGAGCAUGGCACCUGGAGUUAGGCGUAUCGUCGGUUUUGAAUUUCAACUGGUUGUUUAUUAAACUCUCUUUUGAACUUAUCGUGGAAUCAAACUGAAUUUCAGAUGAUGGCAUCAAAAACAUGUACAAGUCGCCACGCCUGCGUGUAUAUUUGCGAUAUAUGGAAAUGGAAAUCAAAAUCGGGCCACUUGCAUGGAAAAAGUUGGAAUUGCUUUUUACUUUCUUAGUUGGCUAUUGAAAGCACACGGAAAUUGAAAACUAUGGAGAAGUCCAUCAAGUGACUAACCUUGAUUAAUCUGUAGAGUUAGGCGUACCGUCGGUCUUGAAUUUUCCAUAUGCAUCGUGAUGGGGGUAUAGAUAAGGGCUUUGCCUAGUAGAGAGGGGUGCGCACGCUAAAUUUUCAGCAUUAAGCUAAAACAUUCUCCUGUGGGUGAUCUAUAGUCUACUGACGCUAGACGCUCUUCUUUUUUCUUUUUCUUUUUUUUUUUUUUUUUUUGGGUGUGAAAUUAAAAAAGAAAAAAGAAGUAAAAGAAGUAAAACUUGUUAGAAACAAUAAUUAUCAAGUUGGAAUGUAGAAAUCAUGUUCAAUGUAUUGUUACUGUGAUUUAAUAUUUGCUUCUUUUCGUUUCUAAUUUGCUAAUAACUUGACAUCCCUUCUAUAGUUAAAAAGGAUUGUGAUAGUUGCGGACGAAGACUUUUGCAUUACAUUGUUUAGGCUGUUCUUUCACAUGCAUUGCUUGUCACUAUAUAGUAAUGAUAUUUUAAAAUGAGCAAUAAACUUACAUCUUAACCCAUAUUUGAUAAGUUGAGUUAUUGCAUGGAUUAGUUAUAUUUAGUAAAUGGAUUUAAAAUAGUAAAGUCUAAGAUAAUAUGGAUAUUAAACAAACUCACAGUUUACUUAAACCAAUUCACCUCUAUGACUCUCUCUCGCCCUUACUGAUCUCGCAAUCACUCACUCCACGUCCUUACCUCAGUUUGCAUAUGAGUUUUCCUAUAUUAGGUAGAACAUGAAAGCGCUUUAACCAUAUGAAUUAGGUUAGAUAGAAAAACGCGUCGGAUCAUUAUGAGUAUCUAAAUUUGUAUUGCAUAAAAAUAAGUCAAAACAACUUAAAUUGGCCAAAUUAGGUCAAUCUAUUUUUCACUCAACCCAAACCCAACCUAAUCCACCCAUUUCACGAGUCUCUAUAAUACUAAGUAUUAGGUUUUUAUCUCUUGUUUCCAACUAUACAAUUUCUUUUUUUUUUUUCUAAAGUAUUAAAGCUCGAUGGUCAGAGUUCUAAUCCUAACCCCAACACAUACUUUUCUUCACGCGUACUUCGAUUUUUGGCAUGCCCACAUUUGUCUACCUUUUCCAUUCUUGUUGUCAUAGAAUCCUCACCAUGUCCUAAAUUGAGGAAUGAAUUAGACUGAAGAAGUAAUUUCGUAGGGAAGUCGACUCAUGCCGUUUGUUGAGAAGAUCGCCUCAAAGUAAAUGGAUUGAUUCGCUUGGAGGAAAUUAAUGUGCAGAUGUCGGUGCGUUUGACAUUUUUUUUUUUUUUUUAAAAUAUCAUUUGUAUUGAAUGACUAAAAGGUAUUUUUAUAUUUCUAUGCAAAUAUUUAAAAAUAAAUGGUUAUCGAUAAAGAAAUUACUUUGUAUUGAUUAAUUAUUUCAUAAAAUAAGCAAUUAUUUUUAAAAUAUAUAUUUUCAGAUUAUUUAUUUUUCACCAAACAAACGGAGUUUGCCUAAUUGUUCGAUUGAUGCUAUUGGUGUUUCUUUUCAAUUCAAUCGUCACGAUAGCAAUAUGAUUAGAUCUUUUUAAAGUCUGAUUCGUUUGCUUUUACGCUAGGAUUUAUAUUUCCUUAAAAGACUUUGAAACCACAUAGCGGUACCUCUCUUGCAUACAUGCUCUUGGGACCACUAUAGUUAAUGCCCAGAUGUGAAGUUGCUUUGGUCACCCCUCCCAACCCAUUUUAAUCUAAAAUAAAAUAUUGACAGAAGGAUAAUAACUCACUCAGCACAUAUCCGAACUUUUGUCCAUCUUAUUAUCAAAUAUCUCAACUUUUUAUUUAUUUGAUCAAGUACCUCAAUUAUUCAAAUUUAACUCAAUAAAAGAUCUCUAGAGAAUAAAUUGUAUUCAUUUCUGUUUUGACUUUUUCAACAACGAAAACCUCUGGCAUAUGAUAUGGCUCGAGUCCUCCACAACUCCAUUAAGCAUUGAUGGAGGAGACUCGUCGUCAAAAGGAACUGCUGAUGAAAAUUCCACUCUGAGAAAGGUACCCACGUAAUUGGAACGGCAGUAGGGAUCCCAGAAGCAAGCAUCUUCACGUACAACCCAUCAAAGCCCCCAAACUCUUCAAACAGCCUUUCAAAUUCCUGGAAUCAUGCAGAAUAACAUUAAAAACCCAAAGAAAUGAAUAAUGCAAAGAAGAAACUAUAAGUUGAAAGAUGCAGUACCUUGAUGUUGACAUGAUAUUCCUUUGUGUCCCCCCUUCAAAGCACCCCAAUCAUGUCUGAAUUGUGCACUGUCUAUAAGCUUCUUGGAUGCAGCAUAAGUUACAGCUACGAGAUCCAUUUCCCACCUAUUUUUCACAUCAUUGUACCUUGUUUUGGACCUCGGUCCAAGAGAAUCUGUUCCUUCAAAGGUGUAAAAAAAUCCAUCAAUCCAAAUUCAGGCGAAGAAGGGGCUGAACUGGAAAAAGAAAAAACAAGGGGGGGCUUUCUAGUCUUUUCAGCCGACGGAGAACCGGUUUCGGGUAGGUCGGUGGAUCCGGACCCGAUGUUUCCAGAAUAAAAAAGAAAACCCUGGAAGCCCUGGAGAAAUUGUCUCCAGUUCACACAGAUCCAGGAGAGAUGUCGACGAUGGGUCCAGAAGAGGUGACAGAAGCGGAAGGAGGAGGAGGAGAGAUGUCGAUGAGGGGUCCGGAAGAAGACAGGGAUGCGAUGAUAGCGGAGGCCAAGCGGUUCGUGGAGAACUACUACAGCACGUUCGACGCGAACAGGGAGGGCUUGGUGAACCUGUACCGGCAACGAUCGGUGCUGAAAAUCGAGGGCCGGAAGAUCCAGGGCAAGGAGGCUAUCCUCGCCAAACUCAUCUCCCUUCCGCAGCCGUGCCACCACGAAUUCCCCGAGAUCAGUUGCUGCACCUAUCGCUUGGCACCCGCAUCGGCAUCGGUCGCCGUGCGCGUCCUGGUCCGCGGCGGGACGUGGUUAGGCGGCAAGAAGGAGGAGGCGGACGCCGCCCUUAUACAGCAGGUCUCUCUCGUUCUCUCUAAGUUAUUAUUUCUUGUCAACGCUUUGCAAUUUCUCUUAUCGAUCAAUCCGUUAAUCAAUCGCAUCGCGCAUAAAUACCGAGAGUACAUCUCAAGCUCCUUGUCUAACGCUCUGGCUGGCUCUGAUUCUUAACCUUCAGAGCUUCAAUCUGGUGCCAGCACGAGGAGGAAGCUUUUACAUAGCUCGACAAUCUGGGAUGCUCUUUGAUCUCAAGAAGCCUCGGUCCGGGGGUCUGUCCUACUGGCUACCGAAACCUCCCUGCUCGGCAGCGCCCUUUCUUGGCCCGUUAUAUCAAAUCCUAUCCUCGGCAUACCCGCCGACGUCGGCUGCCACGGCACCGAGUACGCCUCCGCAUUUCGAACGCCUCAGCAUUUCGAAUCCGAAUGCCACCCAUGAUGAAACUUCCUCCGUCUCUACAGAGACCUGAUGAUAAAACUGUUUUACUUUCAAUGUUCUAGACUCUUGUUUUAUUUUCAAUGUUUUGUUGCACUACUUUUGUGAAUACGUAUUGGAUUCAUGUUCGAAUCCAAGUUCAGCAUAUGUCAUACUGCUCUUAUGAACUGAACUCAG